This is a long non-coding RNA of Micropterus salmoides (largemouth bass), 224 nucleotides long. RefSeq lists it as uncharacterized. Lineage: Eukaryota; Metazoa; Chordata; Actinopteri; Centrarchiformes; Centrarchidae. The transcript is spliced from 3 exons. The record is from RefSeq and is a predicted model, not a curated record.
UCUAUCUGGACGGCCAAUCGAGCGCCGCGGAUGCUCCUUUGUCCCACCUUCAGCUCCGGGACGGACAGGAUGAACUAGGACAGAGAUUGCGAGCCAGGGCGUCUCGUCCAACAUCAGUGUCGGACCUCACAGACGCUCUUUAAAAGUGAUGUGGUUGUGAACAGUCUCCCAGUGUAGAUCUCCUUCUCUGUCCGACAUCCAGUCACACACUCCGUGAUCGAAGG